CACGUAGGGGGCGAGCGUUGUCCGGAUUUAUUGGGCGUAAAGAGCUCGUAGGCGGCUCGGUAAGUGAGGUGUGAAAACUCCAGGCUCAACCUGGAGACGCCACCUCAUACUGCUGUGGCUAGAGUCCGGUAGGGGAGCAUGGAAUUCCUGGUGUAGCGGUGAAAUGCGCAGAUAUCAGGAGGAACACCAGUGGCGAAGGCGGUGCUCUGGGCCGGAACUGACGCUGAGGAGCGAAAGCGUGGGGAGCAAACAGG
Molecule: ribosomal RNA, 254 nt
Filed under: uncultured bacterium
Lineage: Bacteria
Description: partial 16S ribosomal RNA
Rfam family: Bacterial small subunit ribosomal RNA
Source: RNAcentral